RNAcentral lists this ribosomal RNA (254 nucleotides) under uncultured bacterium. Its description in RNAcentral is "partial 16S ribosomal RNA". It matches the Rfam family "Bacterial small subunit ribosomal RNA", at positions 524 to 776 of the family's 1533-position model. The record is from RNAcentral.
UACGUAGGGGGCGAGCGUUGUCCGGAUUCAUUGGGCGUAAAGAGCUCGUAGGCGGCUUGGCAAGUCGGGUGUGAAAACUUCAGGCUCAACCUGGAGCGGCCACUCGAUACUGCCAUGGCUUGAGUCCGGUAGGGGACCACGGAAUUCCUGGUGUAGCGGUGAAAUGCGCAGAUAUCAGGAGGAACACCGGUGGUGUAGACGGCUCACUGGACCGUAACUGACGCUGAGACACGAAAGCGUGGGUAGCAAACAGG